AGGAGAGGAAAGGUCUUGAGGGAGCAGCACCCUUGCCUGAUGGGUGCCCAAAGCCAGGGGCAGGUGGAGGUGAGAGAAGGACAAGCUCUGCAAACGUUGCAGAAGCGCUCUGUCCAUGGAGAAGGCACAGGACUUCCACGUGGGAAGCAGCUUACUCCUGCUGAGAACUUUGGGGAGACAGAGUGGAGCAGCCAUCUCAGACCUGAGCGGCUAAGGAGCUGGGUCCCCCUCUGUCGCACUGUGCAGAGCUGCUGGACUUUGCAGUAAGCAGCCUUCAGGUCUAAAGGCUCCACAUUGUAAGGAAGCCCAGUCACAUGGACAGACCAUAUGGGUCUAGUUGGCUGCCCCAGCCAAGGUUUCGGCCAACAGCCAAGAUUACCCACAGCCACGUGUAUGAAUGAGCCUUCAAAUGAGUCCAGCACCCAGCAGAAUAAUGUCCCCUCCCAUCUCACAAAGAUCUCCAUGCCCUAAUUCCUGGAACCUGUGAAUCUGCUACAUCACAUGGCAAGCAGAGCUGGCAGAUGGAAUUUAGGGUGUGGAGCUUGAGGUGGGGAGGGCAGCCUGGAUUACACAGGUGGGCCCCAUCUAAGCACAUGAGCCCUUAUACAAACAAAGAACAUUUCCUCAGCUGCCAGACAGAUAGCAAACAGAAUUGGAGGGACAGAGAGAUGUAAUCAGAAAGGGCAGAAGAGACUUAAAAGGAAGAGAGGCUCGACCUGCUGUGGCUACCUUUGAAAAUGAAGGAAUGGGGCUCCAAGCCAAGGGAUGCAGGCUGCCUCUUCAUUGGAGUACUGUCAGCAAGAAAACAGCCCAGCAAUUGCAAGGAAAUUAAUUUUCCCAACAGUCUGAAUGAGCAAGAAAAUGGACUGUCCCCUGCCAUGCUCUGAGUUCAGCCUUGUGAGACUCUAAGCAGAUACCCACUCAAGCCCCCAGGACUUCCAACCCGUAACAAUUGUAAGAUAAUAAACUGGGACAGUUUUA
RNAcentral lists this long non-coding RNA (981 nucleotides) under Pongo abelii (Sumatran orangutan). RNAcentral describes it as "lincRNA". Lineage: Eukaryota; Metazoa; Chordata; Mammalia; Primates; Hominidae. The record is from RNAcentral.